This 366-nucleotide unclassified non-coding RNA is filed under the name uncultured fungus. RNAcentral's name for it is "partial contains small subunit ribosomal RNA, internal transcribed spacer 1, and 5.8S ribosomal RNA". The stretch from base 1 to 73 matches the Rfam family "Eukaryotic small subunit ribosomal RNA", at positions 1759 to 1831 of the family's 1831-position model. Lineage: Eukaryota; Fungi. The record is from RNAcentral.
UCAAACUUGGUCAUUUAGAGGAAGUAAAAGUCGUAACAAGGUUUCCGUAGGUGAACCUGCGGAAGGAUCAUUACAGAUAGAUUAAGAAGUGGCCCUUUGGGAGCUUGUAAAAGGGUUUCCAUAGGCACUUCAUAACUCUACCUUUAUUAUCCCCCCCUUUGAUCAAUGGAUCAUGUGAACUUUGACGCGAGUGAAGUAAGAGCCCCUAUUUCAUGGAUUAGGGGCUUCUGAAUGCUUGCGCUCCUUUUUUUAUACAUACCACAUCCAAUUAGUGAUACGCAUGAAUGGGUUAUUUGAUAAAACAAAUGAAAUGUAAUAACUUUCAGCAAUGGAUCUCUUGGCUCUCGCAUCGAUGAAGAACGCAGC